CUCCUCACCCCUCUCCCACUGUCAGUUCGGUUUCUUCUCUAUAUCUCACACAACGAGCACAAUAAUAAUAUAAUAACAAAACAUUGUACAACAAAACUGGUUUUAAACCGGUUCCGUACAUAAACAUACAGUGACACUUACUACUAUAGUUAUUGAUUGAUAGUUAAAACUGAAAUAUUUAAUGUACUGUCAUGAUAAUUGUACACUAAAUAGUGAAGAUAAAAGAAGAUAAAACAAUUUAAUAAAUUGUAAACAAAGUAAUCCACUACACCGCAGAACAGUGUUCAUAAAAAACUGGUUUUCAGGAAGCCUUAAAAAGUGAAAAAGUGACACAAAAAAGCAUUUUUAGAAUUUUAUUAUGAACAUGCAUAUUAGGAAAUAUUCGUUGAUGUUCUUUAGUUUUGUAAAACUGGGAUUAUGACAGUUUUCUUAAAAAGGUUUGUUGAUUAGUUGAUUGAUUGAUUGAUCAGUUGAUCAGCUCACUAGCAGGGACAAGGUGGCGCACUCACAUAUUCAAGUUGAGGUUUCCACCACAGUAUGGGGACAGGCUCAGUUAAGCCAGGGUAGGUGGACUGGAAGCUCUGGUAACUCUGGCAACUAUUCAAAUCCAGAUUCUAUCAUGACCCAGGCGGAUAUGAACGGAGAAAAAGACCAACAAGCUCUACCAUCAUUCUCAAAUCUGACUAGUCAUGGUGAUAGCUCUGAUCUUGAGAAAGCUGCGAUGAACACUGCUGUAGCCGCUGCUACUGCUACUGCUACUGCAACAGCAACCGCUACUGCACAAGCUCUCAUCGAGAAUAAAGGAAACGGUGAUCUCCAAAACCAGGGAGGAGGAGGAAAGGGAAUAAUGCAUGAAGGAUCCAUGUCUCCCAUGUCCGGCAUGCAAAAUAUGCUGCCUGGCAUGAACUCAAGUGAUGGCAUGAACGGCAUGCAGCGAAUGUCCAACAUGUCCGGCAUGAUGUCCCCCAAUAUGAUGCAGAACGGGAUGCAGAGUGGAAUGCAGAACAUGAUGCACGGUCAUGGGAUGCAAAACGGGAUGUCCGGGAUGAAUGGAAUGCAAGGCAUGAAUGGGAUGAACGGGAUGAAUGGAAUGAAUGGCAUGGGGAUGAGCGGAUAUGGAAACAGUCAGAUGCAGCAGAUGCAGUACGGUAAUGGAUACUCCAGUAUGCAGAUGAACCAGGCCGGUUACCACAUUAACCCGAUGGGGAUGAACUCUAUGAGUCGGAUGGGGAUGAUGCAGGGGAUGAACCCCCGGAUGAACAUGAUGAAUAUGCCCUCCUCCUCUUCAAUAUCCAGUAUGCCAAACAUGUCUAAUAUGUCUAACAUGGCAAAUAUGCCAAUAAGAGCAGGUGGGCCUAGUAUUAACAUGAGGAUGCCAAUUGAUUCACGUAUGUACAGUGCACAGGGCCGACCCUCUCCUUACCCUAACCCGGCCAUGUACAUGGCCCAAAAAAGACACCAAACUCCUAUGUACAACAGUCAGAUGCAAGGUGUUGGUCCCAUGUGCCCGUCUAACGGUCAGUACAUGGGCCGAACCCCCUUCCCCGGCCCUCAGGGCGGGUACCCCAUGGGCCACCCUCAUAAUAUGGGAGGUGGGCCUGGGCCUGGAUAUAGUGGCAUGCCUCCCAGCAUGCGGCAUUCAAAUAUGAUGCCUGGUAACAUGCCUAUGACUUCCAUGCCCCAAAGCUACCCAGUGAGCUCGCAAAUGGGCCCGAUGAACUCUGUAAUGCGCCCCUCCGGCCCUGGUAGUGGAUACCCCGGUCCUAUGGGAAUGCAGGGUAGCGGAAUGUACCCAGUGCGCCCCAAAACCGAAAUUCCAACCGUUUCUCCGCGCGGCGCAUCCAUCUCUACCUUCCAACAUUCGCCUGUACCAGGAAAUCCUACUCCGCCCCUGACACCGAACGGGGCGGGAAAUUGUAUAUCCGCCCCCUUUGCCUCUCCACUCAGUGAACACGGCAGCACUAACUCCGAUACCAAACCAAACUUUAACCUGGCCAAAGAAGAACUGCGUUUAACGUUCCCAGUGCAGGACGGUAUUCUUCUACCACCGUUUAGGUUGGAGCAUAAUCUGGCUGUUUCCAACCACGUCUUUCAUCUUAAACCCCAGGUUCACCAGACCCUGAUGUGGAGACCAGAUCUAGAACUACAGCUAAAAUGUUUCCACCAUGAAGAUAGAUCUAUGAACACAAACUGGCCUAGCAGCGUUCAGGUUAGCGUGAAUGCUACUCCUCUAAUGAUUGAGAGAUCAACUGAGGGUAAAACUGGUCACAAACCUCUCUACUUAAAGGAUGUUUGUCAAGCAGGACGGAAUACUAUUCAGAUUACUGUCUCAGCAUGCUGCUGUUCGCACUUGUUUGUUCUACAGCUGGUUCAUAGACCAUCGGUUAGAUCAGUACUACAAGGGUUAUUGCGUAAGCGUCUGCUUCCUCUUGAGCACUGUAUAAGUAAGAUAAAACGCAACUUUUCCACCAACAGCAAUGGUCAGGACAACAGCAAUCCUGGAGGAAAUCAGGAGGACGGACUAGAACAGACAAGUCAGAAGGUGUCUCUUAGAUGCCCGUUAACAUUUAAACGUAUUGGUCUACCUGCCCGCGGUCAUGACUGUCGGCAUAUUCAAUGUUUUGAUCUUGAAUCCUACCUAAAGAUGAAUUGUGACAAGGGGGUCUGGAAGUGCCCGGUGUGCAAUAAAACUGCACUACUGGAGGGUCUCGAGGUAGAUCAGUACAUGCUUAGUGUACUGCAGAAUCCUGCAUGUACAGACGCAGAGGAGGUACAAGUAGAUGAACAGGCAAAUAUGCAGCCCCUGCAUAUCAAGAGUGAGAACGGUGAGCAGGAUUGUAGUUCCUCGAUGCACCCUAUCUCCCCGGGGAGUAUUAAACUGCCCAGCAUGGGAUCCUGGGACCUAACGUCGUUGAAAUCUCCAGCUCUAUACGCACCUCCAGACAUGAACAGUAUUGUAUCCGGGCAGUAUCCUCUAGAAGAAGGUCCUUUAUCCCAGAUGUCUGAAGCUGUAAACAAUAUUGGAGAGGGAGGACUGGGUCCUCAUACACCUUGCACCCCUCAUACACCGGGCAUGCCCGCCACCCCUCACACUCCCGGGACCGGGCAUAAGAGUCCGAGAAAUGGGAAUAACAGUGCUGAGAAAAACAAAGAUCUGUCAGAUAUUCGGACUGAUUUCUCCCUGGACGAUCUAAACUUUGACCCCGCAGCUCUUAUUGGUGAAGGUAGCGGGGACUGGAAUUUAAAUAACAUGGAUCCGAGUGAUCUAUUGUCCUUCCUUGAUGGGCCGGGAGACCUAGCCACGCCCCCGUCCUCUGGGGCGGGAUCGGAAAGUGGAAGCCGGCAAAACACAUCCCAAGACGACCUUUUAUCUCUUUUCGACUGAAACCUACAGCGCCAUAUAUGGAGAAAAUUUGAAACAUUUUAAGCCAAUAAAAAUGGCGGGUGAACAAACAACUUCUUUUUGGGCUCGAUAAGUCGAGUUGACUCAUCACCAAACUUAUCUGAAUUGAGAAGUUUUCUCUCUCUCUACCUACUUUAAGCCAAAAUACAGUUUUAAUUUGAAUGCUUGUGAUAUAUCAUGAUAUUGCAAAUUCCAAGUUUAAUCAGAAACGGUUUCCAAAAAUAACCCGAGAUUUCCGGAAUUCUGGACUUUGUAUCCGAUUCAUUUAAAAACAUAAAUUUAUAUAUUAGAAAAAAUGAGGAACCUUUAUAAAAUAUUAUAAUCGUUAACGCCUGAUGCAUGUGUUCGACCUAAAGGAUGUUAAGGGGUUAACCCCCUUAACAUUGUCCACAUAUAUAUGAAUUUGUCUAUAAAUGUAUAUAUGUUAAAUAAUGUCACAAAACUUAAACAAGUUUUAAGGAAGAAUAUCACCUACUUUAUGUAAAAAAGCCUUUUGUACAAAAUUGAUUAAUUUGAUAGACCAAAUCUAAUUAAAAAAGUAUUAUUAUUCAGUUUUACUAUUUACGCCCUGAAUUGGUCUUUUCAAUAAGUACAAAACAAAGAUCUUUCAGAAUCCCUCUUCCCCGUAAAAAAAACAUAAUCCCAUAUGCAAUAUCAUAUAUGCAAUUAUCUAGAAAUUUAUUAAUUCAUUCAUAGAGAAUUUAGUCCCAGUGUAGAAAAUCAGAAAAAAUGUAAAUUUUAGUGAUAUUAUAUUUGUAAAAAUUAGAGAAAGCUGAUCAGCACCAAAACCUAGUUUUAUUUUCAUGCUUCGUGUACUAAAUGCUUUAUAUCAAGUCGAUUUCUGAUGUAAUGUAUUAAUAUCAAGUGGAUUGGAUGUGUGUACUUAAUGAUUUAUAUCGAGUCGAUUUUAAGUGUACUGAAUGAUUUAUAUCGAGUUGAUUGUAAGUAUGUGUACUGGAUGCAUUACUUGGAGUAAAUCGAAAGUAUGAUUA
This 4395-nucleotide unclassified non-coding RNA is filed under the name Eurytemora carolleeae. Its description in RNAcentral is "zinc finger MIZ domain-containing protein 1". Lineage: Eukaryota; Metazoa; Arthropoda; Copepoda; Calanoida; Temoridae. The record is from RNAcentral.